Long non-coding RNA from Anarrhichthys ocellatus (wolf-eel), 1333 nucleotides. RefSeq lists it as uncharacterized. The transcript has 2 exons. The record is from RefSeq and is a predicted model, not a curated record. NCBI's taxonomy places the organism in Eukaryota, Metazoa, Chordata, Actinopteri, Perciformes, Anarhichadidae.
UUGGCAUUUUGCAUUAGAUAGAGUAAAGAAGAGAAGCAGACAGGAAGUCACAUGUGACGAAGAUCUGCGGCUGGAUUAGAAGCGGGGCAUCACAAGACAACCUCUUUGCAGCCUGUAGCUCAAGAAAGUUUCAGUUCUCUGAUUUGAAAGCCAGUGGGUGCCUGAAGGACAUGUGUUUCUGUCCCCGUCCUGGUCAGUCGUUGUAGCGUGACAGUUUGAGUCGGGGGAUGAUGUUCAUGGACUGCAGCUCCUGGAACAGCAGCUUGCAGGCGUACGGGAUACGCAGGGAGGAAACGUGGCAGGAAGACUUGCAGUAGUGACACCUGGAAGAUUGGAAGAGAGAAUCAGACUGCAGACAAACCAGAGGACUAACGACUGAACUUCCAUCAGAAGGACCAGAGUUCUAACUCAAAAGUGAUGACUCAGUAGCCAAUGAGAGCUCAUCUAUAGUGAGGUGAUGUAGGAAGAUAAACUAUUAAGAGAUGUAAACAUUUUAUUUAAAGUUAGUGUAAACUUUUUCCUGAAAACGACAACGCUACAUUAAGUUUCUUGUUCUUUCAGUACACAGUAAUGGACACCGGGUCAUGAGGGGGACAAAUCCUCAGGUCCAUUGCUCCAGGUGUGUUAUCCUGUAUGUUGGCUUCCAGGAGAAACAGAUCAACAGAUCUGCACUAGUCGACAGACGUGUUCGACUUACCACCCGGAGUAUCCCAGCAAGCCGCAUUGCCCGCACACGUCCACCUCAAAGGCGUCACUGGAGAUCAUGAGGCGCUCCAGCAGCAACAUACUCGCUCCGUAGCCGAUCAGACAGUCACGUUCCAUCUCGCCCAGACGCAGACCUCCGUCUCUGGAGCGGCCCUCCGUAGGCUGCCUGAUAACGACACAGAUGCAUAAUAAUACUGCCAGAGUAAUAGAGGUAUUGGUAUAAGAGAGCAGCACUGCUCUAUUUUUGUUAUUUCUAUAGAAUUACGAUGAGACUAUUGAUUUUUACCUGGUGAGAACGGCUCUGGGGCCUCGGGCUCUGGCAUGCAUUUUGUCAAGUACCAUGUGCUUGAGUUUCUGAUAAUAAACCGGUCCAAAGUAGAUAUAAGCCUCCAGAGGUUCCCUGAGGAAAAUACGUAGAUAUCAAGCUAAUGCAUCCGUAAUGAUCUAAUCAACACUACAAUACAGGAUAUCUCAAUUAACACUCAAUUCAAUAACAUCCCAUUCUCACUUUAACAUUGCAUGGAUACACACAUCACCUUACAGAGUAAAUAUCAGGCCUGUAUCUUUACCUAUGCUGUACAAAUGCUACAUACCGCUGAUAAAGGAAAAAACAUUGUAUUAAAAUGUA